This 887-nucleotide ribosomal RNA is filed under the name uncultured bacterium. RNAcentral describes it as "bacterial SSU rRNA". It matches the Rfam family "Bacterial small subunit ribosomal RNA", at positions 66 to 968 of the family's 1533-position model. The record is from RNAcentral.
ACGGGAUCCUUUGGACACGUCUAAAGGUGAGAGUGGCGAACGGGUGAGUAACACGUUGGUGACCUGCCCCAGAGAGGGGGAUAACCACUGGAAACGGUGGCUAAUACCCCAGAUGUCGUUGUUGUUAGAGAGCAAUGACUAAAGCUCCGGCGCUCUGGGAGGGGCCUGCGGCCCAUCAGCUAGUUGGUAAGGUAACGGCUUACCAAGGCAAAGACGGGUAGGGGGCGUGAGAGCGUGACCCCCCACACUGGUACUGACACACGGACCAGAUACCUACGGGUAGCAGCAGCAAGGAAUAUUGCCCAAUGGACGCAAGUCUGAGGCAGCAACGCCGCGUGGAGGAAGAAGGCCCUCGGGUUGUAAACUCCUUUUCUGGGGGAAGAGAAAGGACGGUACCCCAGGAAUAAGUCUCGGCUAACUACGUGCCAGCAGCCGCGGUAAAACGUAGGAGGCGAGCGUUAUCCGGAUUUACUGGGCGUAAAGCGCGUGCAGGCGGUUUUCUAAGUCGGACGUGAAAGCUCCCGGCUCAACUGGGAGAGGUCGUUCGAAACUAGGAAACUUGAGGGUGGUAGAGGAGAGUGGAAUUCCCGGUGUAGUGGUGAAAUGCGUAGAUAUCGGGAGGAACACCAGUGGCGAAGGCGGCUCUCUGGGCCAUUCCUGACGCUAAGACGCGAAAGCUAGGGGAGAGAACGGGAUUAGAAACCCCGGUAUUCCUAGCCGUAAACGAUGUCAACUAGGUGUAGGGGGUAUCCAACCCCCCUGUGCUGUAGCUAACGCGUUAAGUUGACCGCCUGGGGACUACGGCCGCAAGGCUAAAACUCAAAGGAAUUGACGGGGACCCGCACAAGCAGCGGAGCGUGUGGUUUAAUUCGAGGCUACGCGAAGAA